RNAcentral lists this transfer RNA (84 nucleotides) under Bacteroidota bacterium. RNAcentral describes it as "Bacteroidetes bacterium (mine drainage metagenome) tRNA-Leu". It matches the Rfam family "tRNA". Rfam says of the family: Transfer RNA (tRNA) molecules are approximately 80 nucleotides in length. RNAcentral also lists the same sequence under 3 other names. Lineage: Bacteria; Pseudomonadati; Bacteroidota. The record is from RNAcentral.
GCCCAGGUGGCGGAAUUGGUAGACGCGCUGGUCUCAAACACCAGUGAGCUAAAACUCGUACCGGUUCGACUCCGGUCCUGGGCA